Molecule: long non-coding RNA, 448 nt
Organism: Spinacia oleracea (spinach)
Lineage: Eukaryota; Viridiplantae; Streptophyta; Magnoliopsida; Caryophyllales; Amaranthaceae
Exons: 5
Source: RefSeq, a predicted model, not a curated record
GCAGACAACAUUGUGAACAAUGCUGAAUUCAUUAGAGAGAGCAUUGUUCCAGAAGCUGGGCCUUGGACUAUCUUGGGUCAGGUGUAAAUUGACUUAGGCUUAAGAGAGCCUGGGAUCCUGUUAUAACUCCAGGUGCACAAAAGCAACUCAGUUAUUACUUUCUGAAUGCAUUUGAUAAUUGGGGGGGUUUCAACACGAACCCACUAUAUGCGAUACUUCAUGAGGUGAUUUACUGCCAAGGUGUUCCAUCUCAGUGGGCUGCUCAAAGAAUAAGGGAGGCCAACGGAAGCAAGUUUGACGCAAUCAAAGCAGCAAAAGAAGGGCGUCCUGUAUAUUUUACGGGAGAGGUUUGCACAUCACUGAGUGGAGAUCCUUUCACCGAUGAGAAAUUUGAUGAAAUACGAGACAAAUGGGCAUCAUACUUCAACGAACAUUGUGUGUAAUUAAC